This is a ribosomal RNA of Sinocyclocheilus anshuiensis, 117 nucleotides long. NCBI's taxonomy places the organism in Eukaryota, Metazoa, Chordata, Actinopteri, Cypriniformes, Cyprinidae. The record is from Ensembl.
UUCAACAGCCAUAUCACCCUGCAGCCCUAGACUAGUUGCCUAUUGAAGCUAAGCAGGGUUGAGCCUGGUCAGUGCCUGGAUGGGAGACCUCCUGAAAAAACUAGGUAGCUGUUGGAA